Molecule: ribosomal RNA, 843 nt
Filed under: uncultured Ascomycota
Lineage: Eukaryota; Fungi; Ascomycota
Description: eukaryotic LSU rRNA
Rfam family: Eukaryotic large subunit ribosomal RNA
Source: RNAcentral
CAUAUGAUCUCAAAUCAGGCAAGAUAACCCGCUGAACUUAAGCAUAUUAAUAAGCGGAGGAAAAGAAACUAACAAGGAUUCCCCUAGUAACGGCGAGUGAAGCGGGAACAGCUCAAAUUUAAAAUCUCCUCGGAGAAUUGUAGUUUAUGAAAGCGCUACCGAUGGAGGCCUGGGUACAAGUUCUUUGGAACAAGACAUCAUAGAGGGUGAGAAUCCCGUCUUUGACCCAGGACCCUUCACACUACGAUGCGUCUUUUAAGAGUCGGGUUGUUUGGGAUUGCAGCCCUAAAUUGGUGGUAUAUUCCAUCUAAAGCUAAAUAUUGGCGAGAGACCGAUAGCGAACAAGUACCGUGAGGGAAAGAUGAAAAGAACUUUGAAAAGAGAGUUAAAAGUACGUGAAAUUGCUAAAAGGGAAACAUUUGACACCAGUAUUUGGGAGUCGGAAAUCAGCCUCUUCGGGGGUGCACUUUCCGGCUACCAGGUCAACAUCAGUUCCGGCUGCCGUAAAAAAGCCAAGAGAAGGUAGGUGGUAAUUCACUGUUAUAGCUCUGGCCAAUGCGGUGGGUGGGACUGAGGAGUGCGGCGCAUGCCUUUGGCUGGGUUCGCGGCAGCUGUUUGGGACGGGGUUAUGGACAGCUUGCUGACCAUGGCACCACUCCCAUGCACCCUGCCGUAGGGCCACAAAUGCGCCUAGGAUGUUGACGAAAUGGUGUUAAAUGACCCGUCUUGAAACACGGACCAAGGAGUCUAACAUAUAUGCGAGUAUUUGGGUGACAAGCCCAUAUGCGUAAUGAAAGUGAACGUAGGUGUGAGGGGCAACCCGCAACAUCGACCGAUCUUGAU